Molecule: unclassified non-coding RNA, 1858 nt
Filed under: uncultured fungus
Lineage: Eukaryota; Fungi
Description: sequence contains 18S rRNA gene, ITS1, 5.8S rRNA gene, ITS2, 28S rRNA gene
Rfam family: Eukaryotic large subunit ribosomal RNA (bases 736-1858)
Source: RNAcentral
GGAAGGAUCAUUAACACUUUAUCCUUUAUAAACAACUGUGAACAUGUUUCUCUACCUAUCAAGUAGACCGUCAGUGCUUAGUGUAUGGUGGGAGUAGCCUUACAGCUGCUAGCUAACUCUGACUAGAGGCCUUCGAGCUUCAGGUUGAACUGAUAGGCUUUUUUUACAACUAUCACCAUGGUUUAUAACCAUAACCCAUAUAACAAUAAUUGAACUAAUCUAUGUUUCGCUAGCAGAAAUGCUAGUAGAAUCAAGUUAUACGAAACUAAGAACAACUCUUAGCAAUGGAUAUCUUGGUUCCCGCAACGAUGAAGAACGCAGCGAAAUGCGAUAUGUAAUGCGAAUUGCAGAAUUCAGUGAAUCAUCAAAUCUUUGAACGCAAAUUGCGCUUCCGGGACAUUCCUGGAAGCACGCCUCUUUGAGUAUCGGUUCUAUCUCAUCUCAGCAGCUUGUUGAUCUAAACAUCAGUAAGUGUUGGUUGGAAAAUGAGCGUCUAGGCUACUUGUAGUCAAGUCGCUUUAAAGAUAGAGAGCUUGGUUCUCCUAGUUUUUCAGUACUUCGGUGCUGAAUAGCUACUUCAUCUUGAAGUAACUAUGAACUAGUGACGUGGAUAAUAUCAUCUUUACGAUGUUCUUGAAACGUCAAUACUAGCCAUAUGUUGCCUCGUUAUAUAAGAUGCUGUAGCGAACGGCUAGGUUGAGCCUCGCGUUGGGAAUUAUUAUUCUUAUCCGAAUUAGAUCUCAGAUGAAGCGAGAAGACCCCCUGAAUUUAAGCAUAUUAAUAAGGGGAGGAAAAGAAACUAACAAGGAUUCCCUUAGUAACGGCGAGUGAAGCGGGAAGAGCUCAAAAUGAAAAUCGGCAACCCAAGCGGGUUGUCGAAUUGUAGCCUAGAGACGUGUUGUCAGCGUGUGACCCAGGUAUAAGUCCUUUGAAACAAGGUAUCAUAGAGGGUGAGAAUCCCGUCUUCGACCUGGAGAUUGCCGCGUACGACGCAUGUUCAUAGAGUCGAGUUGUUUGGGAUUGCAGCUCUAAUUGGGUGGUAAGUUUCAUCUAAAGCUAAAUAUUGGCGGGAGACCGAUAGCGAACAAGUACCGUGAGGGAAAGAUGAAAAGAACUUUGAAAAGAGAGUUAAAAAGUACUUGAAAUUGUUAAGAGGGAAGCGCUAGAAACCAGUUUUGCCUGUGGCUAUUUUGCUGUUUGCUUACCAAGAGCUGCGGCGUAAGUGUUUGAAGCCUUACGUUGUAGUUGGAGGAUAGGUGAGCAGUUUCAGUGGCCGCGGGCGAGUCAGAAUCAUUUCGAGUCGCGUGAGAAAGUUAUCAGGAAGGUAGGGUAGUUAGCAAUAAUUACCUGUUAUAGCCUGGUAGCCCUAGCGUGGCUUGGAUUGAGGAUUGUUAUGAUGCGCCAUUAGGCUUGGUACUUUGCUCCUGCCGAAACUUUAGUCUACCAGAACAAUGUUCUGCGGAUUAAGGUGGUUGGUACUGGGUGAAGCUACUCUAUGCAUCAUCACGAUUCUGACGAAAUGGUUUCUAUCGACCCGUCUUGAAACACGGACCAAGGAGUCUAACAUAUAUGCGAGUAUUAGGGUGGUAAACCCUUGUGCGUAAUGAAAGUAAAGGCAGCCUUGUGCUGCUGAGGUAGGAACUGGGCAACCAGGGCACUAUCGACCGAUCAUCACUUGUGAAAGAUUUGAGUAAGAGCAUAUCUGUUGGGACCCGAAAGAUGGUGAUCUAUGCCUGAACAGGGUGAAGCCAGGGGAAACUCUGGUGGAGGCUCGUAGCGAUACUGACGUGCAAAUCGUUCGUCUGAUUUGGGUAUAGGGGCGAAAGACUAAUCGAACCUUCUAGUAGCUGGUUCCCUC